GAUGAACGCUGGCGGCGUGCUUAACACAUGCAAGUCGAACGGAAAGGCCCAAGCUUGCUUGGGUACUCGAGUGGCGAACGGGUGAGUAACACGUGGGUAAUCUGCCCUGCACUUCGGGAUAAGCCUGGGAAACUGGGUCUAAUACCGGAUAGGACGAUGGUUUGGAUGCCAUUGUGGAAAGUUUUUUCGGUGUGGGAUGAGCUCGCGGCCUAUCAGCUUGUUGGUGGGGUAAUGGCCUACCAAGGCGUCGACGGGUAGCCGGCCUGAGAGGGUGUACGGCCACAUUGGGACUGAGAUACGGCCCAGACUCCUACGGGAGGCAGCAGUGGGGAAUAUUGCACAAUGGGCGCAAGCCUGAUGCAGCGACGCCGCGUGGGGGAUGACGGCCUUCGGGUUGUAAACUCCUUUCGCUAGGGACGAAGCGUUUUGUGACGGUACCUGGAGAAGAAGCACCGGCUAACUACGUG
This 467-nucleotide ribosomal RNA is filed under the name uncultured bacterium. RNAcentral describes it as "partial 16S ribosomal RNA". It matches the Rfam family "Bacterial small subunit ribosomal RNA", at positions 28 to 507 of the family's 1533-position model. The record is from RNAcentral.